UGGGGAAUAUUGCACAAUGGGGGAAACCCUGAUGCAGCGACGCCGCGUGAACGAAGAAGGUAUUCGUAUCGUAAAGUUCUGUCCUAUGGGAAGAUAAUGACAGUACCAUAGAAGAAAGCUCCGGCUAAAUACGUGCCAGCAGCCGCGGUAAUACGUAUGGAGCGAGCGUUGUCCGGAAUUAUUGGGCGUAAAGGGUACGCAGGCGGUUUAAUAAGUCGAAUGUUAAAGAUCGGGGCUCAACCCCGCAAAGCAUUGGAAACUGAUAAACUUGAGUAGUGGAGAGGAAAGUGGAAUUCCUAGUGUAGUGGUGAAAUACGUAGAUAUUAGGAGGAAUACCAGUAGCGAAGGCGACUUUCUCGACACAAACUGACGCUGAGGUACGAAAGCGUGGGGAGCAAACAGG
Molecule: ribosomal RNA, 403 nt
Filed under: bacterium
Lineage: Bacteria
Description: partial 16S ribosomal RNA
Rfam family: Bacterial small subunit ribosomal RNA
Source: RNAcentral